CCUACGGGCGGCAGCAGUGAGGAAUAUUGGUCAAUGGACGAGAGUCUGAACCAGCCAAGUCGCGUGAAGGAUGACUGCCCUAUGGGUUGUAAACUUCUUUUAUAUGGGAAUAAAAUGUUCCACGUGUGGGAUUUUGUAUGUACCAUAUGAAUAAGGAUCGGCUAACUCCGUGCCAGCAGCCGCGGUAAUACGGAGGAUCCGAGCGUUAUCCGGAUUUAUUGGGUUUAAAGGGAGCGUAGGUGGAUUGUUAAGUCAGUUGUGAAAGUUUGCGGCUAAACCGUAAAAUUGCAUUUGAAACUGGCAGGCUUGAGUACAGGAGAGGUAGGCGGAAUUCGUGGUGUAGCGGUGAAAUGCUUAGAUAUCACGAAGAACUCCGAUUGCGAAGGCAGCUCACUGGACUGAAACUGACACUGAGGCUCGAAAGUGUGGGUAUCAAACAGGAUUAGAUACCCGAGUAGUC
Molecule: ribosomal RNA, 460 nt
Filed under: uncultured bacterium
Lineage: Bacteria
Description: partial 16S ribosomal RNA
Rfam family: Bacterial small subunit ribosomal RNA
Source: RNAcentral